RNAcentral lists this long non-coding RNA (248 nucleotides) under Ananas comosus (pineapple). RNAcentral describes it as "long non-coding RNA (ACOM_LNC027168)". Lineage: Eukaryota; Viridiplantae; Streptophyta; Magnoliopsida; Poales; Bromeliaceae. The record is from RNAcentral.
AUAUGGAUCGUAAUCGCUAAUCAAGUAUCUCAAAGUUACGUGCUGAUAGGAAGAGCGCUCCAAUCGCACUUAAGGGCUCAAUUACAGCGCUCCCGGACUGCGACCUGACUCAUCCAUCUGAACUUUACGUCUAUUGUGAAUAAGUCUUCUGAGCUUAUUAUUAUGAGAUAAAAAGUUAAACCUAUUUUAGCCAAUAAUAAAUAGCCAAUUGUCCACAGGGGACAGAGGUUUGUUUUAUAUAUAUGAUG